Odontomachus brunneus is the source of this 4411-nucleotide RNA transcript. It is a transcript of the gene named protein FAN-like, with no coding region annotated. The record is from RefSeq and is a predicted model, not a curated record. Lineage: Eukaryota; Metazoa; Arthropoda; Insecta; Hymenoptera; Formicidae. The transcript has 18 exons.
ACGUCCUUUUUACCUUCUUCUGUAUUCAUAUAUUUGUGAAAGCUUGCAAAAGUUUCGUCACCGAGAUCAUUAAUAUUGUUUUUUUAGUUAGGUUAGCGCUGAUUCGAUUGAAGUGAGGGUUAUACGGAUCGUUGCUAUUCAAUUUGCAUAUGGAUAAGAUCUGUCAUCGGAAAAACCGAAUCUGUGUUAUAUGAGUCAGUGUGUUUCAAUGUCGGCUCAUCUUCGAGCUCCAGCGCCGCCAAAGUAGUUCAAUUCCGAGUCAGAAGCGCGCGUCUUUGUUCUUUACAUCUUUAUCGCAACCUCUCUACAUUGCUUUCAGCUGUCAAAUACGAUUGUCCAAUCUGUACUUUUAGUCAUCAAGAGUUUGAUAUAUGAAUUAUUUAUUUAUACAACGAUGGCGAAAGAAAGAUUCACAAUGCUUCUUUCGGAACCUGGAGAAAUAUUUUUUGAGGAUUAUAGUGUCCAGAUGAGAAGGCCAGAUGCUUCAUCUGAAGAAAAUAAAAAGUGGAUAGAUGGAAGACUGAAACUAUGUUCCAAAUCCCUGGUAUUUGUAAAUAAAGAUAUUAAUCAACCACUAAUCAAGAUUCAAUUUAAAGAGACUGUAUCUAUUGAGCAAUAUAUAUCCACUAAUGAAGUAGGUGAUAUAUUGUCUGUUGAAUGCAAGCAAUAUGUAGAAAUGUUGGAGAAAAAUAUAUUAGCACCAUACAGAUUUGUACAUCAGAAUAGUAUGUUCCAUUUUUGUUUUAAUUACACAAAAAUAGAAGAUUGCCUUCCACAAAUUUUGCAAUUGCACAGAGCGGCAAGUUUAGCAAAUGCAGAACAGAAUGCUAUGAUUAUGGCUAUUGUACACUCCAGGCAAUCAGGUGUAUCCUUUGACAUGUCAUGGCUCGAAGACUUGUAUGAGCAAGUGGUCCUAGAGACACAAGCAAAUCAAGUGUUACCACUUGUAAUAAAUCCUGGAAGAGUAUUAUUAACUACAGCCAGACUUUAUUUUCAGCCUUACAAUAAUACAGACCAGUAUCCUGUUCUCAAGAUACAACUGAAAGAUAUACAGAGUAUUAUAAAAAGGAGAUUCAUAUUACGACAAGUGGGUCUUGAGAUUAAGUGGAUACGACAGGUUGGUGGUAAAAUCGAAUAUCUAUUUCUGUCAUUCCAGAGUCAGGAAAAAAGAGACAGGUUAUAUGAAGAUUUGCUUAAGCAAUCGGCGGUUUCCUUAGAAACCGUACCUCAAAAUCAAAUGUUAUUAAGAUGGCGUAAUGGAUACUUAUCGAAUUACGAUUAUAUUUUAUAUAUAAACAGUUUAGCAGAUAGGACGUUUCAUGAUUUGACGCAAUAUCCAGUAUUUCCUUGGGUUAUACAGGAUUAUAUUUCCACGACAUUAAAUUUAAAUGAUACUAAUAUUUAUAGAGACUUGUCAAAACCUAUUGGUGCAUUAAAUCCUAUUCGUCUAGAAAGGCUAAAAGAACGAUAUUCGGAAAUGUCCGACCCAAAGUUUUUAUAUGGUUCUCAUUACAGUGCACCAGGCUUUGUAUUGUUUUACUUGGUACGAAAGUAUCCUCAGUAUAUGCUUUGUCUGCAAAAUGGAAGAUUUGAUCAUCCAGAUAGAAUGUUCAACAGUAUAGCUGACGUGUGGAAAAAUGUCUUGGUGAACAUGUCUGAUUUCAAAGAGCUGAUACCGGAGUUUUACGAUACAAGCAACGGUGGUGACUUUCUAGUUAACAGCUAUGGUAUCGACUUUGGUCAUCGACACGAUGGUGCCAAAAUAAACGAUGUACAGCUUCCACCUUGGGCAGAAAGUCCAUCUGACUUUAUAAAAAAAUUAAGAGACGCUUUAGAAAGUGAAUACGUUUCGCAAAAUCUUCAUCAUUGGAUCGAUUUAAUUUUUGGAUACAAACAAAGAGGAGUUGAAGCGGAAGAGGCUGACAAUGUAUUCUUCCAUUUAUGUUACGAAGGAGCAGUAGAUUUAGACACUGUACGAGAUAUAAAUGAUAGGCACGGACUCGAAGUGCAAAUCAUGGAGUUCGGUCAGAUACCAAAGCAAGUUUUCACUCUACCUCAUCCCCAACGAUCAACGUCGAUUGUAAAUUUAUCACGCAACGCAGCAUUAUUGUUAUCGCCAGAAAUAGCUAAUGAAGGCAGUGCAUGUGUAAAGGAAAAAUCAUUUAAUUUCACAGAAUUAGUAGCUUUUCAAGCGCACAAACACUGCGUUAGCAGUAUCGUGCAAAAGAAUAUAAACUCAUGUAACGAGAUCAUAUCAGUAGGGCAGGACGGAAUGCUUAAAUUGUAUAAUAUAAGCGAGAAGAAAGUAACACGUAGUGUUAAGUUGUCCUCGUUAUCUUUGUCGUCCUGCAUCUCAUAUUACACACCGUCGCAACGUAACAUUCUCGUAGCAGGAUCUUGGGACAAUACCUUAAUAUUUUACGAUAUAGAGUUCGGUAGAGUAAUCGAUAUCUUGCAAGGACAUGUGGAUGCAGUGUCGUGUCUAGCAUGGAGCUCCGCUCGUCAGGUCAUUAUAUCCGGAUCGUGGGAUUGCACCGCGAAAAUUUGGCGAGGAUAUAUCUCUGGCUCAAAGAUCAAACCCGCGGAGUGUUUUAUCGCACAAUUGGAUCACGAUUCCAAAGUAACUUGUAUCGAUAUAUCCAGAGACGAUGCUAUAUUGGUGUCUGGUACAGAAGAUGGCGAAUUAUGUUUGUGGAGCAUGGAUACUUAUGAUCUACAAUAUACUAUCAAAGGUCACACGUGUAAAGUAAACGCAGUAACGUUCGAUAAACAAUGCAGCAGUGUGAUAUCGUGUGCCGAAGACAAAAUAUUAAAUGUAACGGACGUUCGAACGAGCACGCAAAUAUAUUCCAUCAAUUUAGAGAACGAACCACUCACGGUAACGUGGAUGGGAGCAUUCCUGUUGAUAGGUGAUAAUGAUGGAAAUUUUAAUAUAUGGGACUAUCGUAAGACCGUGUUCAUCACGCAAGUACAUUGUCACGAUGGUAAAUAGUAUAUUAUUAUAAGUUAUCAGUUGUGAUCAGCUUAUCUUAUGGUAAUUGUGUUUCGCUCGUGCACGAGAUGUGAUCAAGAAGUUCGCAGGCUGCCCGCGAGAUAGCUCUUGCAAAAUAUACGAAAAAAAUAGCACGUGGUAUUAUUGGGAAAGAAAUUAUGGACGAGAGCGUGUAUCGAAUCAUGGAUCCAAUCGUUGGAUCCGAUCUGAAAGAACAACGUGUCUGUAUUAAGUUCUGCUUCCAACUUGGACAUAAUGCUUCGAGAACUCAUGAGAUGCUGAAAGAAGCUUUCGGACAACACGCGAUGAGCAGGACGCAGGUUUAUAUGUGGUUUUCGAGGUUUAAGAAUGGCGUGAUGUCUAUCGAGGACGCUAAACGGACAGGACGACCCGCAACGAUCAAGACAGACGCGAAUUUACAACGUGUUAAAGAAUUAAUUCUUAGCGAUAAUAAUCUUUCUGUUCGAGAGAUAUCGAACAAAUUGAACAUUUCACUUGGAUCAGUUCAAAGGAUCUUGAGUGAUCUGAACUUGCGAGCAGCGGAAAGACAUUCGAACGGACGCGCAUCGUCAAAAAAAGUUCGACUGAAAACUAAACCUUUACAAAGUGAUUAAUGACGAUAAAUCUAUAGCAUUAUGCGAAUUCGAAAUAAUAAUCGAGCCGACGCAAAAGCUCUUCGUUACAAUGGAACAAACAGAAUAGGUUGAGUCACCAUUUGAAAUAUAUGUUUGUAACGAUCCAAGAAUUGGGGAACUAGAUUUACUUUACAAAAAUAGAUAUAUCUAUAUCACAGUGUUUUUAGGAAAAGAUUUUAUAUCCAUGAGAUAAAGAAACAGUUUGAAAAUAGAUUUCUUGUAAUCUGGUUUUUUCAUUGCAUCCACUGGAUGGCUAUAAUUACCUGUAAAUUUAUCGCAAAAAACUAAAUGGUUCUUAUCCUACAUUCAACAUGUCUGUCAGUUUAACAAUUUUGCUUAAUUCUUCUGAAAGAGAAGAGAUUGGCACAGUUAUAGCAAUAUGCCAAUAAUUUAAAAUAAUUUAAAAAAGGACUGCAUAUUGGAUUUUAAAAGACUGAUUCUCAAAAUUAUUUUAAUAGAACACAAGUAUUUCAAUGGAAAGGAUAACGGGAUCAGUAUUUUACUUUGCAAGGAGAAUAACACACAUGAUGGUGAUCAUGCACAACAGAAUGGUCACUUUCAGCUCUAGCAGUAGCACCUGAUAGUAGCUUGGUAAUAACUGGUGGCAAAGACAAAAAAGUCAUUGUAUGGGAAUGCUACAAUCAAUGACACAGUAUUUCAAGUGAUCUAAUGUAUAAAGGAGAUUCUGUAUAAGGAGAGAAUAGAUCUAAACUCUCUUCUUAGCAAUGUACUAAUAAUUUUAUUACUUGUUUAUUACAAUAAAAUACCAGUUGUAUAUAGUAUA